AGCUGUUAUUCAAAAACUCAAGUUUCCCACCUCGUUGACUUUCACUGGUAGUCAACUAAUAUCAAUUAAAUACGUAAUAUAUUCAAUGGUUUGACGAAAUGGUUAUUUGUAGACUGGAAAUUUGUACGAAUUCACGCGAAAUUUAAAGAUUUAAAAGUAUACAAAAUGCAUAUAAUAGUUCUAUAAUAUAUGUAUAACAGUUCCUCUAUAAAUUCUGUUUCUAACUCUAAUUCAGUUUAGUUACAGAAAUAGGAUCUAAAUGGAGAUCUGUGUCACCCAUUAAAUAUUAUUGGUGCUUUUAUUUUGCCAUAUUAAAUGCAUCCUGCAGACUUUUCCAUUUUUCCAUUUCUCAUAAAGAAAUGAUCUUCCUGAACGAUCCUCAGGAUCGUGCAGUCGAUCUCCGCAAGAAUGAAAAGAAGUAUCGCCAGCCCACCGCGAAGAUUCAUUUCCAAUAACAUCACAAUGAUAUUAAAAAGACAGGCAUAAUCGAAGAAAAUAAAAUAAACGAAUAAAAGGUACUUUAACAAAGA
Molecule: long non-coding RNA, 530 nt
Organism: Bombus terrestris (buff-tailed bumblebee)
Lineage: Eukaryota; Metazoa; Arthropoda; Insecta; Hymenoptera; Apidae
Exons: 3
Source: RefSeq, a predicted model, not a curated record